Molecule: ribosomal RNA, 253 nt
Filed under: uncultured bacterium
Lineage: Bacteria
Description: partial 16S ribosomal RNA
Rfam family: Bacterial small subunit ribosomal RNA
Source: RNAcentral
UACGUAGGGUGCGAGCGUUGUCCGGAAUUACUGGGCGUAAAGAGCUCGUAGGUGGUUUGUCGCGUUGUUCGUGAAAACUCACAGCUUAACUGUGGGCGUGCGGGCGAUACGGGCAGACUGGAGUACUGCAGGGGAGACUGGAAUUCCUGGUGUAGCGGUGGAAUGCGCAGAUAUCAGGAGGAACACCAGUGGCGAAGGCGGCUUUCUGGUCUGUAACUGACGCUGAGGCGCGAAAGCGUGGGGAGCAAACAGG